CCCCUCUUGGUGAACCAGUGAAGGGUAAGAAGAACAAGACGACCACUCAACUGUGGCUCGAAAAAUUGUACAAAAAAGAAACCAAUUACCUGAACCUUUUUCUCAUGAGCUAGUUGACCGUCUUGAGACGUACUUGGAUAGCCUUGAAGAACAGCUUGUAGAUCUAUCUUCUCUUUUGUAUGAUCAUCGGCUACAAGACGCAUACAUGAACAGUAGCGAUAUUCUUGAAACCUCGAUUCUGACACAACAGUAUGUUGAUCAUGUACUGGAGUAUGAAAGGGAAGGGAUGAAAUGUUGUAGUAUCGAGUAUAUCCAAACAACAACAACGUCUAAUCAAAGUCUGUUUUAUGCAGUGAUUCUUCUUACAGGUUUCUUUGUGUAUUUUGUUGUUAUUUUCUUUUCAUGUCUUGUCAAGUGAUUACACCCCAACAGUUUAAUAAAAUUUGAUGGGUGGUUAUUAAAAAAAAGACCCGGCCCGACCCGAAACCCGUUCUGACCCGGACCCGUUUCGACUCGAACCAAAACAACCA
Long non-coding RNA from Helianthus annuus (common sunflower), 530 nucleotides. RefSeq lists it as uncharacterized. The record is from RefSeq and is a predicted model, not a curated record. NCBI's taxonomy places the organism in Eukaryota, Viridiplantae, Streptophyta, Magnoliopsida, Asterales, Asteraceae. The transcript has 3 exons.